Molecule: ribosomal RNA, 495 nt
Filed under: uncultured bacterium
Lineage: Bacteria
Description: partial 16S ribosomal RNA
Rfam family: Bacterial small subunit ribosomal RNA
Source: RNAcentral
GAUGAACGCUGGCGGCGUGCUUAACACAUGCAAGUCGAGCGAAGCGAUUUUAAGGAAGCCUUCGGGUGGAAUUAAGAUUGACUUAGCGGCGGACGGGUGAGUAACGCGUGGGUAACCUGCCUCAUACAGGGGGAUAACAGUUAGAAAUGACUGCUAAUACCGCAUAAGCGCACAGUGUUGCAUAGCACAGUGUGAAAAACUCCGGUGGUAUGAGAUGGACCCGCGUCUGAUUAGGUAGUUGGUGGGGUAACGGCCCACCAAGCCGACGAUCAGUAGCCGACCUGAGAGGGUGACCGGCCACAUUGGGACUGAGACACGGCCCAAACUCCUACGGGAGGCAGCAGUGGGGAAUAUUGGACAAUGGGGGAAACCCUGAUCCAGCGACGCCGCGUGACUGAAGAAGUAUUUCGAUAUGUAAAGGUCUAUCAGCAGGGAAGAAAAUGACGGUACCUGACUAAGAAGCCCCGGCUAAUUACGUGCCAGCCGCCGCAGUAA